CCGCUACGGAUUUAAUUCUUUUUUUACAAUGAACAGAGUAUUACUUAUUUAAAACAGCAUUCUAUUCACAGGUUAUUAAAUUCCAAAAGUGUACGUCCUACGUUUUCUUUCAUUCCUCGAGUCUACCCUAAUAGCAUCUCCAAGAGAUGUCCAAAAUGGAUCCUAAAACCUAAAAUUUAGGAAAUAGAUCAAAAGUACUUCUCCAACAUGUAUCUAAAUUUAUUCAUAAAAUUUAGGUAGUCCUAAUAUCACCUCAAUUGUUUCUAAGAUUUGGAGCAAUCUUGUUUAUUCCUAAAACGGUCAAGCACGUGGAAAGUGAAUACAUUGCAGUACCAGCCGCAGCUGCCACUGCUCCAGACACCAAAGUAUCUAAUUCAACCGACACGACAUAAGGUAUGGGUAGAAUCUGUUGCAUUGUUUAAGAAUAUAUGUAGCUUUGCUGUGUCGAAGAAUAUGUAGUUUUACUCGUUAAUUUGACCAUACAUAGAGCAAGAGACAAUUGCAUAUUUGACUCUGCUUUAAAGGCACGGAUGUCCUGGCGUUUUUUAUUUUCUGCUGUGAAAAAUCCUAUGAAUUCCAGCAUGAUGCAACAUUAAUAAAAGCUUUAUGACGGUUCAGAAUUUUUGUUGUCUCGGUUUAUUAACGAAAUUUUCACGGUGUUGUAAGGUGUAUGCAAAUAGGUCAUGAUUCUUGUGACUGAUUCCACUUCGGUCACAGUGGGGGUUGCCGGCUUAUACAGAAGCAGUCCAAACAAUACAAAUCUCACCAGAUCAUGCAAAGAAACCAUAUACGGAUUCAACGACUCCUUUCGUACGUAUGAAGAUGUCGCCUUCCAAGUGCGUACUCAUCUUCGUCGUCGCCUCGCUGCAGCCAUCGGCAGCCGUCAGGGACGCCCAGGUGUUCAAGCCCACUGUCGCCGUCGAUGUCGUUGGGCAUCAGCAGUCGCAGGAGAUCAACGCCGACUCAACCCAGCCAUCGACAUUGCUGCCUGGGCUGCCGCCAUUGCCACAGCUGCCACAGAUCCAAAUCCCAAGGCUCCCACCAUUGCCUCCCCUUUCGACUAUCCAAAUUCCAGUGCUCCCACCACUGCCUACCCUUCCGACUAUCUAUAUCCCGGGGCUACCACCAUUGCCACCAUUUCCGACUAUCCAAAUCCCAGAGCUCCCACCACUGCCUUCUUUUUCCACUAUCCAAAUCCCAGGGCUCCCACCGCUACCGACCCUUCCAACUAUCCAAAUCCGGGGCUCCCACCAUUGCCACCACUUCCAGCUAUCUAAAUUCCGGGUCUUCCACCAUUACCACCACUUUCAACUAUCCAAAUCCCAGGUCUUCCGCCAUUGCAACCAUUUCCGAUGAUCCAAAUCUCAGGUCUCCCACCGUUGCUACAGCUACCACAGAUUGUUGUCGGUCAAGGAUCACCAGCUGGACCAGUUCCGCUUUUGAUGCCUGCUCUUACUGUCGCUGCUCCACCAUCGUCCGGGUCCUCACCGUAACUUAUGGCAAGUUCAGGCUGGAUGCUAAUUAGGUGUCAUCAAGAUGAAGAUUAGGAUUUCGACCUCACAUUGAUACUCUAGAGUAGAUGCUGCCUAUUUCUGUGUUAGUUUUACUCAGCAGGAAAUUGAAAGUUAGCACUGUAAUUAGGUCUAGGGAUAAACUAUGUAUGGCUCAGAUCUUACUUUAGGUCAAUGUCAUAUGUACCCUUAGCAACAAAUAUAUAUACAAGUACGAGUUUCAUUAUU
Molecule: RNA transcript, 1739 nt
Organism: Oryza brachyantha (malo sina)
Lineage: Eukaryota; Viridiplantae; Streptophyta; Magnoliopsida; Poales; Poaceae
Exons: 4
Source: RefSeq, a predicted model, not a curated record